This 384-nucleotide long non-coding RNA is filed under the name Trifolium pratense (red clover). RNAcentral describes it as "long non-coding RNA (TPRA_LNC011292)". Lineage: Eukaryota; Viridiplantae; Streptophyta; Magnoliopsida; Fabales; Fabaceae. The record is from RNAcentral.
UUUAGAGAGCUUCUCAUAUCUAUUUAAAAUUUGUCCCACAAUUUAUUUUGUGUGUCCAUUCAUCCUCCAAAAUAAUUAUCUAUAUGUUACAUUAAUAAUGGUUCCCAAUAAUAAUGAAAGAAAGAAAAAAAAAAAAAACAAAUUACAAAAAGAACAAUGAAUAGAUAUAUGCUCUUUCAUAUUUUACACUACCAAACAUAAAAUAUAAAUCAUGCAUGUGUAAAUAUGAUUUGCAAUUUGCAAAAAUUUACUUUAAAUAAAUAAACCAAAUAAAAAAAUUACUCCUCAAAAAAAUUUCAUGCUUGACAAAAUAAAUUUUAUGAAAAAAAAAAUAUUUUAGUUGUUGAGUUGCUCACAAGCAUGCAUUGUGAUGAUGUGACACUC